GCUUGGGGAGUGACUAGCUACUGAAUCAUAGAAUUUCUUUAAAUUCAUGAUGUCGUAAGGGAAAAUAAUGAUAUUACCUUACUAUGAGUGUCGUCCAAAGCUGGUGCCAGAAGACUCGGUAAGACCAGAGACGCAAACGUUAAUCAUCUUAAACAGGCGUAAAGGGUUUGUAGGCAGCUUUCAUAAUAUUAUUUCUUACAAAAAUAAAGAAGUGGUCUGAUUGAAAGCUAGAAUCAAAAAGAGGUUAUAGUGUAUAACGCCUAGAGGAGGGCUGAUAUCCUUAGAUCCUAGGCAGAAUACUUAGGGCGAAGGCCACUCUCCACUAAUGAUUGACGCUGAGAAACGAAGGUAAGGGUAGGAAAUAGGAUUAGAUACCCCGGUACUCCUUUCUGUAAACGAUGAAUGGUAGUCAUUAGUAAAAUUAAAAAUUACUAGAGACGAAGUUAACACAAUAACCAUUCCGCCUUGUGAGUACUACUGCAAAGUAGAAAACAAAAAAAUUAGUCGGUCUCGAAGCAAACGGAGUGAAGCAUGUUAUUUAAUUAAUA
RNAcentral lists this ribosomal RNA (548 nucleotides) under Sanguinoderma microporum. RNAcentral describes it as "partial large subunit ribosomal RNA". It matches the Rfam family "Bacterial small subunit ribosomal RNA", at positions 399 to 955 of the family's 1533-position model. The record is from RNAcentral. Lineage: Eukaryota; Fungi; Basidiomycota; Agaricomycetes; Polyporales; Polyporaceae.